Molecule: transfer RNA, 84 nt
Filed under: Candidatus Tectimicrobiota bacterium
Lineage: Bacteria; Pseudomonadati; Candidatus Tectimicrobiota
Description: Candidatus Tectomicrobia bacterium tRNA-Pro
Rfam family: transfer-messenger RNA
About the family: Bacterial tmRNA, also known as 10Sa RNA or SsrA, is named for its dual tRNA and mRNA-like properties. Its role is to liberate the mRNA from a stalled ribosome.
Source: RNAcentral
GGAGGCGAAACGCACUCCCCGGAUAAGCAUGUAGAGACUGUGGCUGAAGGCUUCCGGACGUGGGUUCGAUUCCCACCGCCUCCA